Long non-coding RNA from Catharus ustulatus (Swainson's thrush), 3632 nucleotides. RefSeq lists it as uncharacterized. The record is from RefSeq and is a predicted model, not a curated record. NCBI's taxonomy places the organism in Eukaryota, Metazoa, Chordata, Aves, Passeriformes, Turdidae. The transcript is spliced from 2 exons.
GGGGCGGCCGGAGAGGCCGUGAGGGGAGAGGGGCGAGGGGCUGGCUGCUGCUCCUCCUCCUGCAAGGGCACGGCUGGGACGUGUUAGCACGGGGCAGGUCGCUGAGGCUGGCAGCUGGACCAGGGGGACUCUUGGAGCAGCGGCUGCAGGGGCAGGAGUGAGGUGGGGUCACUGGUGCUGUGUCUCCUUUCACUACACCGUGGAGCAUCAUCCAAGGUCAUAUUUUUGCCUGUUUUCUAAAAGCCGAGGAAAGGUCACUUGUCAAGGUCAUAUGGUAGGCUGGUGCCGAACGAGUCUCUCCAGUUCAAAUACAUUUUUAAUUCCGUCAUUCCCUGUAAAGCAAACAAAUGGAAAUUGUUGCUAUAAGAUAGAUGUUGGGGUCAUGCCAGCACUAUAAUUACCUUGUGACAGGGUGUUAGGAUUAGGGAUAUGGGAGCUGGCAGCCCUGGAGGACAGGAGUGGAGCUGGGCCAGGCACUUCAGCAGCUGAUGAGGGGAAAAGCAGCGAUCAAGGUAAGGCAGAGCAGUGUAUGAGACAAAGCAUGACUGGUGCGUCCUUAGUUGUAACACAGUAAAAUCUCAGGGCUGUCUUCAUUUUUUUUCCCUUUCUUUUUGACUGCGCUGUGAUUUGGGGAAGGGAGGUUGAUUUCUAACAGACUAGUUUUCUUCCAACAAUCCAGUGAGAAAAAUACAGCAAAACCAAGCUGUAGCAUUUGUGUUUGAAACAGAGAAAUGAAAUCCAAGAUUAAAGACAAGUCUGAUUUUGUGAAGACAAAAACAAACAACUCAUAGGUGGAAUGUUUAGAACUGCUUGUCUGUAGUUUUAAUUCUCCUGGCAGGGAAAAAAAAUAUCUGGCACAUCACUUCAUGGCUUUCAUCAGCUUAUGAGAUUGCAUUACUCUGAUAAAUAUAAUUUGCUUUUAAUAAUUUUUUUAAUAAGUGGCAAUUCAGUGUGGCUGUUGUUAACAGCACACAAGGUACCAUAACUAAUCAAAGCGAGAAGGAAAGGUAUAAAAUGAAAAUGUAGAAAGUGAGAAUAAAUUUAGGGAAUGAGUUGCAAAAGUAGAAAUAAUUGAGAGCACUUUGGAAUUUCAAAGUGUAAAAAAUGGGGAAAAAGGGUACUACAGGUGUUGGAUGAGAGCACUUUUUAUAUUUUUGUGCGCAGUUUAAUGGAGGAAGAGAUCUAAAAUUAGAGAUGAAAAAGAUCCAGUUAAUGGAAAAAUUGCCAUCUAUAGGGCCUAAGGGAAUCAGGUAAAAUGAUAAACUGAGCAGUGGAUACUUUUUUCUGAUGUUCUAAGUAUUUAUAAUAACAUAAUAAUAAGUGUGUAAUUUAAACUGUAAGCCACUGGCAUAUUAUGUUUUCUUGAACCCUUCUCCAUUCCCUGGAGAAAUCCCACUCUGACAGUCCCAUGGGGAAGCCAUGGUAUGUGCCAGCUGCCUUUCUAGUUCUCUUUGGCACUGCUGAAUGGCUCAUGUAACAACUGUGCUGUACCCACCGCUCAUCGAGGACAUCAAUUCGACCCUUCCUUCUCUGCAUGAGUGCCAGCUCUCAGUGGAGCUGCGUGGGUGUAGUUAUCCCUCAGGCUUUUUAACUCCUAUUUCAAAUUGCCUGAUGAGUUCAGAAGUUAUCAGGGGCAGAGUCAUAGGUUGAGAUGAAAAUACAGAAAGCAGCUGCAUUCUGAAAUGAGGAUACCAUUUUUGUAUGGGUAUUUGAUGAGGUGUCUGCUGCUUACCAAAAAGUGUUUAUCCCAGAAGUGUGGAAAGCAACAGGUGGAUGAGGAGUUCUGCGUGAAGUGCUCACUGCUGUGCUGUGCACAGAGGAGGAGGAGGAGAAAGAGGAGGAGGGAGGAAGUGUCAGCUCCUGCUUCGUUUCUGCGAACGCUGUCACACGCUGAAACACGCAGAGCUCCUCGCAGCCAUGUUAGGUAAGGGCAGCAGAAGCCAACUGUGUCCAUCCUUUUUCUGGGCAGGAAGUCCAUGAGGAUAUUAUAAUAGCCAUCAUAGCUGAGGGCAGAAAGAGCCCACUCCAGGCCAUAUUGGAUAAGGGAAAAAGGAGCAGGGGACUGUUACUGUCACAUUUGUCCCCUAAAGAGCUGGUGGCUGUUUCAGGAGAUGAAAUGCAGCUGAGAUAGUUCAUGUGCAUACCUGAAAAACAUCUGGAUUUUGGCUUGAGUGUGUCAAAGUCUUAAAGAUUGGAUGAAAAAUGAGAUCUUUUGCUGAAGGAAGCCUAUCAUGAAUUCUGAACUGUAACUGACUCAGAAAGAAAAACACAGAGCAGCAUUAUAGGCAACUCAGUGCCAGAUUUCUGACUACUGUGCAAUGGUCAUCUAAAAGCUUCCAAAAUAAUUAAUAUAUUUCACUGUGCUUCCAGUGCAGAGGUAUGAACCAGUUGCUUAGUGGGAGAUGCUGAUUCCAGAGCAAUUGUUACACUUGAAAUGACUGAGGCAUGCUGUAUUGCAAAAAUUCAAUUUCUAGUGUAAAAUUUAAGAUGCAAACUGAAAAUGAAAGCAGAAUAAACAGGUAAGGAGAAAGUUGGAGAUGCAGUUUUCUACUGAGUUUUCAUCCCUGAAACUCGUUCAUCAACAAUUUAUCCAAUCAGUUUUGUACUGAUUUUCAGAAAUACAACCAAUUUCUUGUAUAAUAGCCAUACCACCUUUCAAAUAUGGCAGUCUAAGAAGGCAUUUACUGCUCUGUAGAGCAGCAAGGAAACGUAAACCAAGGUUUGAACUGUUACUUGCAUCCUUAUUUAUCUUUUGCAAAACAAACUUGCUUCAGAAGUAGCUUCUAAAACAUUCUGAACCAAGCUGUCAAAAAGUAAGGAAGUCUUUCAGAGAAGUUUUCUCCAGUGUUAAAAGAUUGAUUCUAAUUAUCACCUCAGAUUUAGUGAAGGGGUUACACUUUUUUAUUUUAGUACUAUUAUUGUUCUUUAGUUUCAGUCUUAUUUUCUGUUCGUGAUCUUCUAACUCUCUGACUGGUUAUGUAAAGAACAAUUGCAUUAUCUUUCAGCAUUAAUUUUGAAGGAAUAAGCAACUCUACCAGUUUAAUCCUCUCUUGUCAAGUAGGUUCUCCAUUUAUUCCGUUUUCUUUCAGAUCCUUCCCUGCACCUAUUUCUGGUUUGCAUUAAAAAAAGAUACUUGUAUCCAGUGUACAAAUGAGUGUCUUACAACAUAACAUUUACAUUAAUGUAAUAUAUGUAAUAAUCAUAUAUUGAAUGUACUAUUCAAUUUACAUUAUGUAAUAAAUAUGAAUGUUUUAUACAGUUAUUUAGAAGAUAUUAUUUAUUAUGUGCCAUAUAUCCUAUCUGUGUAUAUAUACAAUGUACAUUGCAUAGUCUGUUGAUAAUACAUGUAUUUGCUAUAUAUACAUUAUUAUAAUUAACAUGCAUACCAUGAAUACAUGUUAUGCUAAUAUAUAGCUGAUUUUACAUGCAGUGUUUUUUCAUUUCAAAUUAAAUCAGGAAAGUUGAAAUAACUGACAUUUUCACUGCUUUAUCAUUUUAGCCAACUCUUGUUUGCUUUUCUAUUAAUAUAUCAAGUUUCCAGUCAGUAUUAAUAUUGACUUUUUGAAAUGGUUGAUGUUUUCUGUGGCUGUUUGAAAAAUGGAAAUGAUGCUUUAACAAUAAUUAUGACUUUU